RNAcentral lists this ribosomal RNA (773 nucleotides) under uncultured Neocallimastigales. RNAcentral's name for it is "partial large subunit ribosomal RNA". It matches the Rfam family "Eukaryotic large subunit ribosomal RNA", at positions 22 to 639 of the family's 3401-position model. Lineage: Eukaryota; Fungi; Neocallimastigomycota; Neocallimastigomycetes; Neocallimastigales. The record is from RNAcentral.
UACACGCUGUGACUAGCAUAUCAAUAAGCGGAGGAAAAGAAACUAACAAGGAUUCCCCUAGUAACGGCGAGUGAAGCGGGAAGAGCUCAAAUUUGAAAUCUUAAAGGGUUUCCCUUUACGAAUUGUAGUUUAAAGAAGUGUUUUCUGUUGAGGUUUUGGUAAAAGUUCUUUGGAAUAGGACAUCAUAGAGGGUGAGAAUCCCGUAUUUGACCUUUACUUUCAACUUUGUGAUACACUUUCAAAGAGUCGGAUUGUUUGGGAAUGCAGUCCAAAAUGGGUGGUAAAUUUCAUCUAAAGCUAAAUAUUGGCGAGAGACCGAUAGCGAACAAGUACCGUGAGGGAAAGAUGAAAAGAACUUUGAAAAGAGAGUUAAACAGUACGUGAAAUUGUCAAAAGGGAAGCGUUUGACACCAGUGUUGUUUUUCUGAAAAUCAAUUAAAGAACUGUUUAUGCUAAGCUGUUUAGACUUUAUCAGCUAUCUGUUUAGUUUUGAGCUUUUCUUUAAUGCACUUUUCAGUUAACAAGUCAACAUCAAUUUCUUUUGCUGUAAAAAAGCUUGAGGAAGGUGGCUUGAGAUUCGUCUUAAGUGUUUAUAGCCUCUUGCCUAUGCAGUCGGAGAGAUUGAGGUCUGCAGCGUAGAUCCUUCGGGGCUAAAUGCAUUUGUGCUAAGUUAUAGCAUUUUAUAGACAACUUGUUGACUAUGAUUUGUCUUGUAGCUUACUCGCUUAUGUUAUUUUACCUACGCUUAGGAUGUUGACGCGCGUGUGUGCGUG